Molecule: non-coding RNA, 121 nt
Filed under: uncultured Eubacterium sp.
Lineage: Bacteria; Bacillati; Bacillota; Clostridia; Eubacteriales; Eubacteriaceae
Description: FMN riboswitch (RFN element)
Rfam family: FMN riboswitch aptamer (RFN element)
About the family: The RFN element is a highly conserved domain that is found frequently in the 5'-untranslated regions of prokaryotic mRNAs that encode for flavin mononucleotide (FMN) biosynthesis and transport proteins. This element is a metabolite-dependent riboswitch that directly binds FMN in the absence of proteins. In Bacillus subtilis, the riboswitch most likely controls gene expression by causing premature transcription termination within the 5' untranslated region of the ribDEAHT operon and precluding access to the ribosome-binding site of ypaA mRNA.
Source: RNAcentral
UAUCUUCGGGGCAGGGUGAAAUUCCCUACCGGCUGUGUUUGCUUUAUAGCAUAAGUCAGCGAGCUUAGGCAUGAUAUGGUGAGAUUCCAUAACCGACAGUAUAGUCUGGAUGAAAGAAGAA